GUUGCGGUGAUAAGUGCCACUGGGUCAUUUAGCUGUCAUUAGCAACAAACGAACUGUCAUAUAAAAUACCAUGCUUUCUAUUUCUGGCUCACGCUAUGCUGUGUGCUUGGUAAUAAAAAAAAAAAAAAGGAAGAGAAAGUUGGACAAGACGGCAACAUGAGCGACACUGAAAUACAACCACGUGUUUCUAGCUUUCGUUCGGUCCCAAACCUUUUUAGUACUCUCACCCUGAACAGAGAAUUUAUCGCCUGACUCACAUAAUAACAAAUAUUAGAACAUCAUCUCACAAACCAAAGUUGUAUUCAUUAAGUUGCGUAUGAAAUAAUACAAGUGCGAUUAGUUUUAUAGGGGGAAAGUAAGAAAGUAGAGUUGGCUGGUGAACGAAAUGUAAUGAACGAGUCAGAAGCUUUCCCCAGACAAGCUCAACUCCACUCUUGUGUUCACGGAGCGAGCAGCCCGCCAGCCUCAACCAGCCAUUAGCCAGCAGAAGUAACUGGGACUCUGUGGGGUGAGGACGUACUGUGCGUGGUCAUAUCGUCGCGUUGAAGAAGCCUCCAGAAUCUAACUCGAGUCGCGUGGAAGUGCGAGGUGGAUUUGGACUUCCCUUCGUGUUACUCGGCUUCAUUCGGCGCAAGUGAGCAGGCGGCGGGAUGGUGGCGGAAGUCAUGUCCCCGUUGGUUACCUCGGCCCUCAGGCUGGUGGUGAUCACGAUGCUCUUCGCUGCCAACUGUGGGGCUGUGUGCCGCACCUACAGGCUGCCCAAGUACAGAGGGGUGUUGGUCCUACAAGUGGAUCACAGUUCUCUCCAUCCCUCAUCCUGAACCUGACAUAUUUGUCCUUCAUCUGGGCACCCCUUCACCAUCACCAACCUUCAAGCACAACCUGCAGGAUCUCCGAGCUGUGCACCGGCCUGGUGGUGCCACGGAGCAGAUCCCAGGUGCCCUCUCACCUACAAUCCUGGCCCUACCCUGGAGAACUCGCAAACGGUACCCUUGUGCAAGAGACCAAGCUUGGCCACAGUGUUGGGAGAGACAAACUAUGGCCAGCUGGUUCUGCCUGAAGGAAAUGGACCCCAAGAUCUAAUAACUGUUAGUUUUGAUAAGCUGAAAAAAGUUUGAAAGUAACCUUGCACUCUCCUGCUCAGCCCAGACGUUCCAGGCUUGGUGACUCUCUGAACCAGUGGAUUAUUCAUGUUCAAGACCUUAUUACUUCAAUCAUUUGUCUACAGCCUGAUCCUGUUAACAGUUAUGAGGCGGGCCAUGGCAGACCAAGUGUCUGGUGCUGGGCAGCCUGCAGGUGUCCCUGAGUUCCUUCCUGCUGGCAAUGCUGCCCAUCCCACUGGUGCUGGCCACUCGGGAGCUGGCCAACACCUCUAACCUAUUUGCUCUCCACACCUCGGAGGUCUCCAAGAGUGGCUAUACCAUGUACAGCAUCAUCUGUGACGUGAACAUCACCCAGAACUACGUGGUGAGCCUCUUCCUGGAGUGUGCCGUGGUGCUGCUGGUGGCUGCCGUGCUGCUGGUGGUGACGCAGCGCCGCAUCAAGUUUGCUUUCUCCAGCACAGAGGAGGAUGGAUGCGAGUCAGUCCCAGGUGGAGGAUGUGGCGUGUAAAUUUGUGAUGUCACUGGGUGCUGGGUGGGCCUGGCCUCUGAAACCUGUCCUUGUCACCAUCCUCUUCUGCAUCCAUGGAACUCACUGGAGCAAUGUGGUUUGCUGGUUGGCCAACAUGGUGGUGGCCAUCCCAGUGGUGUUCAUGCCACUUGCUGUCUUCCUGUCCCGGCCUGAGGAGCACAACGGCUGCACUGUCUACAAUGUCUUUGAAAACGAUGCUGAGAACACUGAGGCUAUAGAAGAAAAGCAUUACAUGGACCAGAGUACUGAAACUGAAAUUGAAUGUGAUGCUGAAGAUGUUUGUUGUAAGUUUACAACCGUAGAUAUAUUGCCAGAAGGGAGGGUAUUUGUUUCCUUGGAUGCUCCAGAGAAAGGGAGCCAGGCAAAGGAGAACCUUAAGUUUUACCUUGGUACUGAUAUUUUCAAACCUAAGAAGGAAGAUGAGGUUUGCAUCUUAGGUAAGAGUUGCCAUACUCGUACACCUGAUGGUAAUGACUCCUUCGUUUAAAGAUCUGUCAAGUAAGUUCUAGUGAAGUAAAUGAGAGGAACAAAACUUAAAUGUAUGAGCUUUCUUUUUAAUAUGGUUAGGAAUUUAAAAAGAAGCAUUAUUGGCAUACAUUGAGAGAAACUUGAGCAAUAUAGAAAACUAUCUGGAGCUGGUCUACCAGAACUUUUGGGACACACACACACACACACACACACACACACACACACACACACACACACACACACACACACACACACACACACACACACACACACACACACACACACACACACACACACACACACACACACACAAAUUUUGCUCAUGUACACUAGUUCCUUGCUGACUGUGAUGAUGCUUGGCGGAAGUGCUAAAGUGUUGCAGACUGGUAUGAUCUUAAGUAGUACAAUAUUCCUGGGUGUGUUGGCCCUUGCACUGGCUAUCCCUGCUGUGUUUUGAUAUAGUAUUCUUUUUUCCACCUGUUUUGAUCUCAUCCAUACUGUUGUAAGUAAAGUAUGAAUGUGUGUGUAUGCUUGUAUCUUUAUAAUGCCUGCAUGUGUCUUUGUAAUGGUGUAUCCCUUAGUGCCUUAGAUUGGGGAAGUUUUCUAGAGUUUGUCAUGUAUGUCGCUCAAUCAUCCCAUUAUCAUUAAGGAAGAGACUGUGAUUAGGGAAUGUUAUCUCUGAAAUAAAUAGUAUAUACAAA
This is an RNA transcript of Scylla paramamosain (green mud crab), 2801 nucleotides long. RefSeq lists it as uncharacterized. The record is from RefSeq and is a predicted model, not a curated record. Lineage: Eukaryota; Metazoa; Arthropoda; Malacostraca; Decapoda; Portunidae. The transcript has 7 exons.